Molecule: ribosomal RNA, 483 nt
Filed under: uncultured bacterium
Lineage: Bacteria
Description: partial 16S ribosomal RNA
Rfam family: Bacterial small subunit ribosomal RNA
Source: RNAcentral
GACGAACGCUGGCGGCGUGCUUAACACAUGCAAGUCGAACGCUGAAGCUCAGCUUUUGUUGGGUGGAUGAGUGGCGAACGGGUGAGUAACACGUGAGUAACCUGCCCCCUUCUUUGGGAUAACGCCCGGAAACGGGUGCUAAUACUGGAUAUUCACUGGUCUUCGCAUGGGGGUUGGUGGAAAGGGUUUUUCUGGUGGGGGAUGGGCUCGCGGCCUAUCAGCUUGUUGGUGGGGUGAUGGCCUACCAAGGCUUUGACGGGUAGCCGGCCUGAGAGGGUGACCGGUCACAUUGGGACUGAGAUACGGCCCAGACUCCUACGGGGGGCAGCAGUGGGGAAAAUUGCACAAUGGGCGCAAGCCUGAUGCAGCGACGCCGCGUGAGGGAUGGAGGCCUUUGGGUUGUGAACCUCUUUCGCUCAUGGUCAAGCCGCAACAAUGGUUGUGGUGAGGGUAGUGGGUAAAGAAGCGCCGGCUAACUACGUG